This is a non-coding RNA of Escherichia coli str. K-12 substr. MG1655, 135 nucleotides long. The record is from Rfam. Lineage: Bacteria; Pseudomonadati; Pseudomonadota; Gammaproteobacteria; Enterobacterales; Enterobacteriaceae.
UACAUCGAAUAAUUUGAAAAUCAAAGAGAUAGGUAGAUUUUCACUCGAAAGUAGUAUUACGUGUAAGUGAGGAGUAAUUAUUGUUCGGUAUCAAAGGGAGACAAAAAAAGCGCCCGCAGGCGCUUUUUAGAUUCA